This 491-nucleotide ribosomal RNA is filed under the name uncultured bacterium. Its description in RNAcentral is "partial 16S ribosomal RNA". It matches the Rfam family "Bacterial small subunit ribosomal RNA", at positions 29 to 507 of the family's 1533-position model. The record is from RNAcentral.
GUGAACGCUGGCGGUAGGCCUAACACAUGCAAGUCGCACGGCAGCACAGUAAGAGCUUGCUCUUACGGGUGGCGAGUGGCGGACGGGUGAGGAAUACAUCGGAAUCUACUUUUUCGUGGGGGAUAACGUAGGGAAACUUACGCUAAUACCGCAUACGACCUACGGGUGAAAGCAGGGGAUCUUAGGACCUUGCGCGAUUGAAUGAGCCGAUGUCGGAUUAGCUAGUUGGCGGGGUAAAGGCCCACCAAGGCGACGAUCCGUAGCUGGUCUGAGAGGAUGAUCAGCCACACUGGAACUGAGACACGGUCCAGACUCCUACGGGAGGCAGCAGUGGGGAAUAUUGGACAAUGGGCGCAAGCCUGAUCCAGCCAUACCGCGUGGGUGAAGAAGGCCUUCGGGUUGUAAAGCCCUUUUGUUGGGAAAGAAAAGCAGCAGGUUAAUACCCCGCUGUUCUGACGGUACCCAAAGAAUAAGCACCGGCUAACUUCGUG